This 253-nucleotide unclassified non-coding RNA is filed under the name Hevea brasiliensis (rubber tree). The record is from RNAcentral. Lineage: Eukaryota; Viridiplantae; Streptophyta; Magnoliopsida; Malpighiales; Euphorbiaceae.
GGAAGUGGUUUGAGGUCUACCUGUUGUGCUUCCUUCUCAUCUAGCAAGGGUGGUUGUGCAACUUCAUAUUUCAACUCUUUAACUUGCAUAACUUGAUCUCCUAAAACUUCUUAAGUAGCAUCCAAAAUUUGAGCAAAGGCUGCAACUUCAGGAUUUUCUUCCUUUGUUAUUUUACUAUGUACCAAAUAAUUCACCAAAGGGUCUUCAGGAUAUCUUUUCCUAAAUUCUUCUUCCACAAUCUCAUCAAUAACAU